RNAcentral lists this ribosomal RNA (303 nucleotides) under uncultured bacterium. RNAcentral describes it as "partial 16S ribosomal RNA". It matches the Rfam family "Bacterial small subunit ribosomal RNA", at positions 507 to 807 of the family's 1533-position model. The record is from RNAcentral.
AGCAGUAGCCGCGGGAAUACGUAGGGCGCAAGCGUUAUCCGGAAUUAUUGGGCGUAAAGAGCUCGUAGGCGGUUUGUCGCGUCCGCCGUGAAAGUCCGGGGCUCAACCCCGGAUCUGCGGUGGGUACGGGCAGACUAGAGUGAUGUAGGGGAGACUGGAAUUCCUGGUGUAGCGGUGAAAUGCGCAGAUAUCAGGAGGAACACCGAUGGCGAAGGCAGGUCUCUGGGCAUUAACUGACGCUGAGGGGCGAAAGCAUGGGGAGCGAACAGGAUUAGAUACCCCCGUAGUCCCUGUCUCUUAUAC